Non-coding RNA from Rhododendron griersonianum, 70 nucleotides. Lineage: Eukaryota; Viridiplantae; Streptophyta; Magnoliopsida; Ericales; Ericaceae. The record is from the annotation of a GenBank genome assembly.
GCUAGCCCAGUUGGUAGGGUGCUUGUUUCAAGUUCGCUAAGGGUCUCGAGUUCGAGACUUGACGUCUACU